GAAUUCGCCCUUAGAGUUUGAUCCUGGCUCAGGAUGGACGCUGGCGGCGUGCCUAACACAUGCAAGUCGAGCGAGAAUUCCUUAACUGAUUCUCCGGAUGAUUUUAAGGAAGGAAAGCGGCGGACGGGUGAGUAACGCGUAGGCAACCUGCCUCUCACAGAGGGAUAGCCACUGGAAACGGUGAUUAAAACCUCAUAACGCCACUCUGAGACAUCUCAGAAUGGCCAAAGAUUUAUCGGUGAGAGAUGGGCCUGCGUCUGAUUAGCUUGUUGGCGGGGUAACGGCCCACCAAGGCGACGAUCAGUAGCCGACCUGAGAGGGUGACCGGCCACAUUGGGACUGAGACACGGCCCAAACUCCUACGGGAGGCAGCAGUGGGGAAUAUUGCACAAUGGGGGAAACCCUGAUGCAGCGACGCCGCGUGAGUGAAGAAGUAUUUCGGUAUGUAAAGCUCUAUCAGCAGGGAAGAAACUGACGGUACCCUUGGAGGAAGCCCCGGCUAACUACGUGCCAGCAGCCGCGGUAAUACGUAGGGGGCAAGCGUUAUCCGGAAUUAUUGGGCGUAAAGCGUGCGUAGGUGGUCCUUUAAGCGCAGGGUUUAAGGCAAUGGCCCAACCAUUGUUCGCCCUGCGAACUGGAGGACUUGAGUGCAGGAGAGGAAAGCGGAAUUCCUAGUGUAGCGGUGAAAUGCGUAGAUAUUAGGAGGAACACCAGUGGCGAAGGCGGAUUGCUGGACGAUAACUGACGGUGAGGCGCGAAAGCGUGGGGAGCAAACAGGAUUAGAUACCCUGGUAGUCCACGCUGUAAACGAUCAAUACUAGGUGUGCGGGGACUGACCCCCUGCGUGCCGCAGUUAACACAAUAAGUAUUGCACCUGGGGAGUACGAUCGCAAGGUUGAAACUCAAAGGAAUUGACGGGGGCCCGCACAAGCGGUGGAUUAUGUGGUUUAAUUCGAAGCAACGCGAAGAACCUUACCAGGGUUUGACAUCCCGAUGACCGGUAUAGAGAUAUACUUUUCCUUUCGGGGACAUCGGAGACAGGUGGUGCAUGGUUGUCGUCAGCUCGUGUCGUGAGAUGUUGGGUUAAGUCCCGCAACGAGCGCAACCCCUAUUGUUAGUUGCUACGCAAGAGCACUCUAGCGAGACUGCCGUUGACAAAACGGAGGAAGGUGGGGACGACGUCAAAUCAUCAUGCUCCUUAUAUCCUGGGCUACACACGUAAUACAAUGGUGGAGAACAGAGGGAUGCAAAGCCGCAAGGUGGAGCGAACCCCUAAAAGC
RNAcentral lists this ribosomal RNA (1280 nucleotides) under uncultured bacterium. RNAcentral describes it as "partial 16S ribosomal RNA". It matches the Rfam family "Bacterial small subunit ribosomal RNA", at positions 1 to 1282 of the family's 1533-position model. The record is from RNAcentral.